UCUUAUCAAGAGUGGUGGAGGGAACAGGCCCAAUGAUACCCGGCAACCAAACUUCGGUUAUGGUGCUAAAUCCUGCAAGAAUAAUCUUGAAAGAUGAGA
Molecule: non-coding RNA, 99 nt
Filed under: uncultured Phascolarctobacterium sp.
Lineage: Bacteria; Bacillati; Bacillota; Negativicutes; Acidaminococcales; Acidaminococcaceae
Description: SAM riboswitch (S box leader)
Rfam family: SAM riboswitch aptamer (S box leader)
About the family: The SAM riboswitch is found upstream of a number of genes which code for proteins involved in methionine or cysteine biosynthesis in Gram-positive bacteria. The SAM riboswitch acts at the level of transcription termination control. The predicted structure consists of a complex stem-loop region followed by a single stem loop terminator region.
Source: RNAcentral